GCUUUUGGUUCAAUGGUAGAAUGCUCGCCUGCCACGCGGGCGUCCCGGGAUCGAUUCCCGGCUUAUGCA
RNAcentral lists this transfer RNA (69 nucleotides) under Cordylochernes scorpioides. Its description in RNAcentral is "tRNA-Gly". It matches the Rfam family "tRNA". From Rfam's summary of the family: Transfer RNA (tRNA) molecules are approximately 80 nucleotides in length. Their secondary structure includes four short double-helical elements and three loops (D, anti-codon, and T loops). Lineage: Eukaryota; Metazoa; Arthropoda; Arachnida; Pseudoscorpiones; Chernetidae. The record is from RNAcentral.